RNAcentral lists this long non-coding RNA (479 nucleotides) under Heterocephalus glaber (naked mole-rat). RNAcentral describes it as "lncRNA (ENSHGLG00100047106.1)". The record is from RNAcentral. Lineage: Eukaryota; Metazoa; Chordata; Mammalia; Rodentia; Bathyergidae.
GGAGUCUAAAGGGACUUGUAAAUUUCCGCAUCAAAAUUGAGCAAUUUCCCAAUAGGAUGGUGGAGGAAAACAUUAAUCAUUAAAUGGAAAAUACCUUUUAUCUUCAUAGAGAGAUUUUCUUAUCAAGUUCAAGUGACAAUUCCUUUGGAAGAAUCUCUGUCCUCAGUUGUGUGGCUGUGGUUGGACAAUAUGUAAGUCUAACUACAAGAAAAAAUAUCAGAUGAACUUCAGAGCUUCCUACCAAACACUGACCAGGACUUCUCAAAACAAGACUACUGAAAACCAGGAACCCCUGAGAAGCUGUAGCAGCCAAGAGGGACCUAAGGAAGCAUGAUGAUUAAAUCUGAUGUGGGAUCCCGGGUGGGACCUUGAGGCAAAAAAUAGUACAUUUUGGCAAAAGCUAAGAAAAUAGGAAUAAAGUACAGAUUUCAAUUAAUAAAAAUGCAUCAAUGCAGAUUGCUUUUUUCGACAAAUGUGCC